UACGAAGGGGGCUAGCGUUGUUCGGAUUUACUGGGCGUAAAGCGCGUGUAGGCGGGUCGUUAAGUUGGGGGUGAAAUCCCGAGGCUCAACCUCGGAACUGCCUUCAAAACUGGCGACCUGGACUCAAGUAGAGGCAAGUGGAAUUGCGAGUGUAGAGGUGAAAUUCGUAGAUAUUCGCAGGAACACCAGUGGCGAAGGCGGCUCACUGGACCGGCAUUGACGCUGAGGUGCGAAAGCGUGGGGAGCAAACAGGAUUAGAAACCCUUGUAGU
This 271-nucleotide ribosomal RNA is filed under the name uncultured bacterium. RNAcentral describes it as "partial 16S ribosomal RNA". It matches the Rfam family "Bacterial small subunit ribosomal RNA", at positions 524 to 794 of the family's 1533-position model. The record is from RNAcentral.